CCUGGUUGAUUCUGCCAGUAGUCAUAUGCUUGUCUCAAAGAUUAAGCCAUGCAAGUCUAAGUUUAAGCACAUAAACGGCGAAACUGCGAAUGGCUCAUUAAAUCAGUUAUCGUAUAUUUGAUAGUACCUACUACAUGGAUAACCGUGGUAAUUCUAGAGCUAAUACAUGCUUAAAAUCCCGACUUCGGAAGGGAUGUAUUUAUUAGAUUAAAAACCAAUGCCCUUCGGGGCUCACUGGUGAUUCAUAAUAACUUCUCGAAUCGCAUGGCCUUGUGCCGGCGAUGGUUCAUUCAAAUUUCUGCCCUAUCAACUUUCGACGGCUGGGUAUUGGCCAGCCGUGGUUACAACGGGUAACGGAGGGUUAGGGCUUGACCCCGGAGAAGGAGCCUGAGAAACGGCUACUACAUCCAAGGAAGGCAGCAGGCGCGCAAAUUACCCAAUCCCGAUACGGGGAGGUAGUGACAAUAAAUACUGAUACAGGGCUCUUUUGGGUCUUGUAAUUGGAAUGAGUACAAUUUAAAUCCCUUAACGAGGAACAAUUGGAGGGCAAGUCUGGUGCCAGCAGCCGCGGUAAUUCCAGCUCCAAUAGCGUAUAUUAAAGUUGUUGCAGUUAAAAAGCUCGUAGUUGAACCUUGGGCCUGGCUGGCCGGUCUGCCUCACCGCAUGCACUGGUCCGGCCGGGCCUUUCCCUCUGGGGAGCCGCAUGCCCUUCACUGGGUGUGUCGGGGAACCAGGACUUUUACUGUGAAAAAAUUAGAGUGUUCAAAGCAGGCCUAUGCUCGAAUACAUUAGCAUGGAAUAAUAGAAUAGGACGUUGCGGUUCUAUUUUGUUGGUUUCUAGGACCGCCGUAAUGAUUAAUAGGGACAGUCGGGGGCAUCAGUAUUCAAUCGUCAGAGGUGAAAUUCUUGGAUCGAUUGAAGACUAACUACUGCGAAAGCAUUUGCCAAGGAUGUUUUCAUUAAUCAGGAACGAAAGUUAGGGGAUCGAAAACGAUCAGAUACCGUUGUAGUCUUAACCAUAAACUAUGCCGACUAGGGAUCGGGCGAUGU
RNAcentral lists this ribosomal RNA (1050 nucleotides) under Juglanconis juglandina. RNAcentral describes it as "SSU rRNA". It matches the Rfam family "Eukaryotic small subunit ribosomal RNA", at positions 3 to 1063 of the family's 1831-position model. The record is from RNAcentral. Lineage: Eukaryota; Fungi; Ascomycota; Sordariomycetes; Diaporthales; Juglanconidaceae.